UCCUCAGUAGCUCAGCGGUAGAGCAAUCGGCUGUUAACCGAUUGGUCGUAGGUUCAAAUCCUACCUGGGGAG
RNAcentral lists this transfer RNA (72 nucleotides) under Laminariocolax aecidioides. Its description in RNAcentral is "tRNA-Asn". It matches the Rfam family "tRNA". Rfam says of the family: Transfer RNA (tRNA) molecules are approximately 80 nucleotides in length. Their secondary structure includes four short double-helical elements and three loops (D, anti-codon, and T loops). Lineage: Eukaryota; Phaeophyceae; Ectocarpales; Chordariaceae. RNAcentral also lists the same sequence under 1 other name. The record is from RNAcentral.